Long non-coding RNA from Drosophila albomicans, 3366 nucleotides. RefSeq lists it as uncharacterized. NCBI's taxonomy places the organism in Eukaryota, Metazoa, Arthropoda, Insecta, Diptera, Drosophilidae. The record is from RefSeq and is a predicted model, not a curated record. The transcript is spliced from 3 exons.
UUUGAUAGUUUAUCAUUAAUUGCAAUCAUCAAUUAAAAAUGAUUGUCUUAAAUCACAGUUAUCUAAGAGUUUUCCAAAUUUCACCACUUUAUAUCCAAAUUGCGAAUUUUAAGUAUGAAAAAUCAUUUCUAUACAGCAGGUCAUCAUAUAUCGGUAAAGAAUGUGUGCCAAAAAUACUUGUUUGUUUUCACGAUACUUAAAUGUAUAUGUAUAUAUAAUAUGUUAUACAUAUAUAUGUUACCUUUUCCUUCAAAACCUAUUCUUUAAGAAGUUUAUCAAUUGCCAGCAGAGUUGUCUGAACACUAACUUUUUUAUCAGCAAACUCAUGAGUCAAAAUAUCUAGAGAUUUCUAUGACACCGGUAUUUAUGUACAUACAUAUGCUGCGUGUGUUGAAAGUCAUUUUGAAAUAUUUUUUUACAAAGACAUUUAAUUCCUGAAAUCUGUAUUUUUAAAAAGUCCUUUGGUUGUUGGUUUACUAAGUACCUAAUAAAAUCGUAACAGAAUUUAAGUAUUACAAUUAUUGUUACAAUUGGUUUAAACAGUGUUUUAUUAUUUCAAUAUAUAAGCAAAAAUAUAAUGUUAAAUAAUAAUGUAAAAUGUAUUUAUAAUACGGACAAAAAAUCAAUAAACACACCUUGACAAAAAUAACGGGAUGAAAAAUCUCUUUAAAAUUUAAAAGCACUUACCAAAUUAAAAAUAAAUUUUAUGUCGCAACUAAACAUAAUUAAUAUAGUACAUGUCCCACCACAUAAAAUGUAAUCUACAAGCUCUAACAACAAGUUUCUAAUAUCUACAUAUGUAUGUAUGUAUCUAAUAAGUUUUGUGGAUAGCAUAAUUCUACGUACAUAUGUAUGUAUGUAUGUAUGUGCAUCAGUGGCGUGCACGGCUCACUUGGGUACAAUUUUAUCUGCCGCACACAAUACAAACAUUAGUUUGCUUCGACAACAAAGAACAACAGAAAUUCACACUCAGAAGUACAUAUGUAUGUACAUAUGUAUAUGGGAAGAACCAAUAAUUUGAGAACAACUUCAAUUAUUGUUUAAAUUUUCUGUUUUUAUUUAAUUUGAAAACAGUUUUAAGCCGUGUAAAGUUAUUUGUUCUCUUUUUAAGGUAUUUCUCUCACACACACAUCCAAAAUUAAUAUGAGAAUGUAUUGGUGCCGUCCCGUCCACUUAUUUUACACAUUCAUAUGUACAUAUGUAUGCAUAUAUGUAGUGAAUGUAAAACAGUAGCAGACAACCAAAAGUAACGAAUCAAAUUUAACACAUACAUACAUACAUACAUACAUACAUAAGUAUGUAUAAGAAAUUAAAGGUAACAGAAGUAGAAAAUUUUACAAAACAAACAUUUACUUACAAAAAAAAUUGUUCUUACAUAUUAAGUAGUACAUAUGUACAUGUGUGCGUAUAUUAGCCAAGUAGAAUAAUUUGCAUGCUUGCUGGAUAAAUUCAACGAAUUGAUAGAAAAACAAAUUACAUAUGCAUGUACGUAUGAAGUUACAUGCAUUAUCUGUAUAAAGUAUUGAAAGCAUAUUUUGUAGAACUUUUGAUAAUUUUCAACUUGCGUUUUUAAAUGGCUUCAAGCCUGACAAUCAACGAAGAAAAUAAAAUUUUAAAGUAUAAGCGAUGAUUGUUAAGUGAGAAUCGUUUACGCCUAAUAUUUAAUUUGGUCUCCUAUUAAAAGAUGUUUACUAAAUAGUAAAAAUAAACAAAAGAAAAUAAUUGUCACCGUGUGUUUAAUGGUAUAUUUUAAGUUAUUAUUAUUUGACGUAAAAUUUUCUCUAAUAUGGGAAAAAGUAUACAUAUAUAUAGAGUCCUUAAUAAAUUUAGAUUUUACAAAAAGUAAAGAGUACUCAUAAACAAAUUAUUUAAAAUGGUCCUACAAUAAGCAACGCGUAAGUAACGUUGUUAUAAUUGUGUAAUCUGGUUCCAAUCGACACUGUAUGUACGGUUACCACUUUUGGUACAAAUGUACCAAAACUAGUAAAUUUUUUAUGCGUUGGUACAUUGGAUCACUUUUUUUCAUAUUGGUACAUUUUCAAUAUGCCUAGUCUAGUACUUAAAUUUUUCAUAAAAUUUUAUGUACACACAUAUUUUUCUUACAAAUGGCUCUGUUCCACCAGACAUCAAUUGAGAAAAUAUAUAUGCGCCAAUGUAAACAGUUAUGUAUAUAUUGUGAAUCACAAUUUGUGAUUCAGCCAAAUUUCUAAGCGAAGAAGAACUUUCCAUAGUGAAAACCUUUGAAAAUUUAUAUAAUGCUGAUCCUGAUGAUAUAAAGAAAAAGAUAUUCGUAAAUUUUGGACAGACAUUGAAGGUAAAAAAAACGGUGUUGACGAACCGCUGUUCAGGAGCUUAAUAAAUUUCAUAAACAACUUGCUUUCGUUGCUACACAGCUCUGGUGCUGCAGAGCGAAAGUUUUUUGAAAGGUUAACAAAAUAUAGUAUUAAAAAAUACCGAAAAUAAAAAUAGAAAAAUUAAAAAAAUUUGAGGUACAUUUUUGCUAAAAUUGGUGCAUUUUUUCAAAAUUUUGGUACACAAAAUUUUUUUGGAAUGGUAACCGUGACUGUAUGUUAGAUUUCUACCAAAGCCCAACGAAUAAAAAUGAGCCAUAUUCACUAAAUUAUUCAAGUAAGCCAAAUACAAAAAGUAAAAAAAAAAACAUGGUAUCCUAAAGUUUAAGAUGUGAGACAAAUUUGUAGUUUUUUUGCUGGAAUAUGAAUAUAAGAACUAUAGUUGUGUGUAGUAAAAAUCGAGAAAAAAUCGCACACUAAAAUGUGAAAACAAAUAAAAUCAUUAAUGUAUAUUUACGCGAAGAAUUAAUUCACGAAUCGAGAAAUAAUGGGAAGAGCGUUUUUACCAAACAAAGUUAAAACAGGAUACAUAUGUACAUAUAUCACACCAUUUACAUUUCGUUUUCUAUAUUCUGCCUAAUACCACACCACAUUUGCUUGAAAGUUUGUGCGUGAAAAUGCAAGUAGGAUCAAGAAGGAAGAAGAAUAUGGACGAACACUGAAAUAAACAAGAGAAAAUAAUCAAAUGCAAUAACUGGGAAUGGGAACUGAAUGCAAUGAAUAAAUAUAUUUCGUAUAUUUUAAUGAAACAAUAAAUUUUCAGAACGAAUUGCUCUGAUAUCCCUGAAACUCCAAACUUCGGUACCAAACUUCCACCACCUCAUGUAAAACUGCCAGGAUUACGUGUACUUUAACUAACAAGUGACAAGUGUGUUAUGCAAGCUAAUACCUGACAUUUUAAUAUUGUUAUUUUUUUGCUCGAUAUGCUGCAUUUAAAAAUACUGCAACGUACCGAACGUUAUAAAAAUGAAUUCAAUUUAAAGUGUCAAAAUUUUUAAAUGCACUAGCUUUGAUA